ACAAAUCAAAAGCGGGGAGAUUACCGGUCAAUAGUUCGUCGGUACGGACUGAUUCUUCUUUGUUCGUAAUUAACGAUAAGGGGUUAAUUGAUUUUCAUCGAUUUUCGCAAUGCUUUGGAAGGCAGUCAUUUCCUCUUUGCUAAUAAUCCUUUUUUAUGGUGCAACGCAAACCAAUGGCGAAAAAUAUCCUGUAGUAAUGUGGCAUGGAAUGGGAGACACCUGCUGUUUCCCAUUUAGCCUGGGUUCCAUUAAGAAGCUAUUGGAGCAGGAACUAAAUCAAACCUAUGUCAAAUCAUUGCGUAUCGGUAACAAUAUGAUCAUGGACUAUGAAAGUGGUUUCUUUAUUCACCCAAACAAGCAGAUCGAUUAUGUCUGUCAAGAAUUGGCCAAAGAUGAAAAGUUGAAAGACGGCUAUAAUGCAAUUGGCUUCAGCCAGGGCGGACAAUUUUUACGUGCAUUGGCGCAACGUUGUCCUCUGCCACCCAUGAAAGUCCUAAUCUCAAUGGGUGGUCAACAUCAAGGCGUUUUUGGUUUACCCAAAUGUCCUUCGCUUUCAUCGAAAACCUGCGAAUAUAUACGCCGUAUAUUGAACACUGCAGCCUAUGAAGAAUGGGCCCAAAUGGAUUUGGUACAGGCGACCUAUUGGCAUAAUCCCCUCAAGGAACGAGACUAUAUAGCUCAUAGUACUUUUUUGGCUGAUAUCAAUAAUGAGGUCUUCACCAAUGGUUUAUAUGCCGAACACUUGAAUCGUUUGGACAAGUUUGUUAUGGUCAAAUUCUUGAAUGAUACUAUUGUCCAGCCCAAGGAAUCUCAGUGGUUUGAAUUUUAUAAACCAGGGCAGGAUAAGGAAAUUCUGCCCUUGAAAGAGAGUAAAGUUUAUGAACAGCUCGGUCUUAAGCAAAUGGAUAUAAACCAGAAACUGGUCUUCUUGGCCACCGAAGGCGAUCAUUUGCAGUUCGAUAGAAAAUGGUUUUUGGAGAAUAUAAUACCAUUGUUGAGUCAAGAGAGGAAAUAGGGGUGGCAGUCUCUAAGAAGUGGAAUAAGAAACUUCAAACCAAAUAAUAUAUUUAUUUCAAGGACCAUCAGACCAAUAAACUUGGAUUUUUAAAGAAUUUUUUCCAAAGACCAUAUGACCAAUAGUUGGGGAUUUUUUAAAGAAUUUUUGUCGAAGAACAUUUGACAAAUAAACGUGGAUUUUUAAAGAAUUUUUGUCGAAGGCCAUUUGGCCAAUAAACGUCGAUUUUUUAAAGAAUUUUUGUCGAAGACCAUUUGACCAAUAAUCGUAGAUUUUUUAAAGAAUUUUUUCCAAAGACCAUCUGACCAAUAAUUGGGGAUUUUUUAAAGAAUUUUUUUCAAAGGCCGUCUGACCAAUAAACGUGGAUUUUUUUAAAGAAUUUUUUCCAAAGACCAUCUGACCAAUAAAAGUGUAUUUUUUAAAGAAUUUUUUCCAAAGACCAUAUGACCAAUAGUUGGGGAUUUUUUAAAGAAUUUUUGUCGAAGAACAUUUGACCAAUAAACGUGGAUUUUUUAAAGAAUAUUUUCCAAAGACCAUCUGAUCAAUAAACGUAAAUUUUUUGAAGAAUUUUUUCCAAAGCCCAUCUGACCAAUAAACGGGGGUUUUUUAAAGAUUUUGUUUCAAGGACUAUCUGACCAACAAACGUAGAUUUUUUAAAGAUUUUGUUUCAAUGACCAUCUGACCAAUAAACGUGGAUUUUUUAAAGAAUUUUUUCCAAAGACCAUCUGACCAAUAAACGUGGAUUUUUUAAAGAAUUUUUUCCAAAGACCAUCUGACCAACAAACGUGGAUUUUUUAAAGAAUUUUUCCCCAUAGACCAUCUGACCUAUAAACGUUGAUUUUUAAAGAAUUUUUUCCAAAGACCUUCUGACCAAUAAACGUCGAUCUUUUAAAUAUUUUUUUUUCCAAAGACCAUUUCACCAUUAAACGUUGAUUUUUUAAAGAAUUUUUUUCCAAAGAUCAUCUGAUCAAUAAAUGUGGAUUUUUUAAAGAAUUUUUUCCAAAGACCACCUGACCAAUAAACGUGGAUUUUUUGAAGAAUUUUAUCUAUAGACAAUCUGAACAAUAAAUGUGGAUUUUUUAAGACUU
RNA transcript from Musca domestica (house fly), 2103 nucleotides. It is a transcript of the gene named palmitoyl-protein thioesterase 1, with no coding region annotated. The transcript is spliced from 6 exons. NCBI's taxonomy places the organism in Eukaryota, Metazoa, Arthropoda, Insecta, Diptera, Muscidae. The record is from RefSeq and is a predicted model, not a curated record.